Molecule: non-coding RNA, 95 nt
Organism: Mycena alexandri
Lineage: Eukaryota; Fungi; Basidiomycota; Agaricomycetes; Agaricales; Mycenaceae
Source: the annotation of a GenBank genome assembly
GCCCCCGUAGCUCAACGGUUAGAGCGCCUCGAUAUCCUCCAUUUCAGCUACUAGAGUUUAACGAGGAGACGUGGGUUCGAAUCCCACUGGGGGCG